This 282-nucleotide ribosomal RNA is filed under the name Bicosoecida sp. CB-2014. RNAcentral describes it as "partial Bacterial large subunit ribosomal RNA". It matches the Rfam family "Bacterial large subunit ribosomal RNA", at positions 1582 to 1876 of the family's 2925-position model. Lineage: Eukaryota; Bigyra; Bicosoecida. The record is from RNAcentral.
AGUACGGAAAAGCUGAGAGCAGGCUUCCAGGAAAAGCUUCUAGCACAACACACAUCGGCCCGUACCGAAAAUGGACACACAUGGGCAAGGAGAGAAUCCUGAGGUGAGCGAGAGAACUAUAGCUAAGGAACUCUGCAAAAUGACCCCGUAACUUAGGGAGAAGGGGUGCUCCAGAAAUGGAGCCGCAGUAAAACGGCCCAAGCGACUGUUUACCAAAAACACAGCUCUCUGCGAAGGCGCAAGCCGAAGUAUAGGGGGUGACGCCUGCCCGGUGCUGGAAGG